This is a long non-coding RNA of Apis cerana (Asiatic honeybee), 6373 nucleotides long. RefSeq lists it as uncharacterized. The record is from RefSeq and is a predicted model, not a curated record. Lineage: Eukaryota; Metazoa; Arthropoda; Insecta; Hymenoptera; Apidae.
UAUACCUGAAAGAACAAGAUUAUUAAAUUAUAUUCGUUAUUGUUUUAUUGUUAUUUUAAAAUAUUAUUUAUUCUUGGUUUAUUCUAUUGAUUUAGAAUAAUAAAACAUACAAUACUAAAAUACUAAUAAUAAAAUAUUAAAAAUAUGUGUUUUUUAAAUCAAUUUCUUUAUACAAUUUUUUUAAGGAUAUUUUGGACAAAAAAUGGAAUGAUUUAUAAGAUUCCGGAGUAAAAGUAUGAAAAGUCGGUCAAAAGAUUCGAUGAUGGAGGUGCAUAUUAUCGAUUGGAAAGCAUGGCAAUAAACGCACCUUUUUCCUUCGUUGGAGAGAUGGUAUCAGUCAGUAAGCUCAUAAUUAAAAUCACUCUCGCCAUAAAUAGGCAAAACGCUUAAAUUAAUCAUGGUUGGGCAAUCUGGUAGUAAAAUGAGAAAUAUCUAAUUGGACCAGCAUAAUAUUUAAAACAGACUUCAAUAAUAUUUUUUUAUCAAUUAUAAUUAUUAUUUUUAUUAAUAUUUCAAAAUUUCGAUUUGUUUGUUUUUUUUUUACGAAUGUAUUAUCUCCAUAGAAAAAAAAAUGCGAUUUCCAUCAAUUUCAUCAUAAAGAUAAAAGAAAAUCCUUUGGGAAAUCGAACAGAUGGAUAUUUCAAGUAUAUUUCAUACUCUAUGAAAUAUGUUGACAUUAUCGGAAUGUAGAUGGAAUUUUUUAAAUUCCUAUACUAAUUAUAUAAAUAAUAUAUAAAUUAUUUAUCGUGGAAUCGAUACAUUAUUAUCUACUUUUAUAAAUUUAUAAAAAAAAAUGUUAUAUAUAAAAAUAGGAUAGAGAUUUUUAAGUAAAAUUUACUUAAAAAAAAAUAUACUAUAUAAAAAUUAUUUUUUCCGAAAAAUUUUAUUUUUAAAUUAUGAAUAUUAUGAAUAUUAAUACAAUUUUGAUUCCAAAAAAAAUGAUAAUCUGUUAUAAUUUGUUACUUGGCAAAAAGAAUAAUGGAAUUUAAUAUUAAUACUCAAUAAUUUCUUUUUUGAAAAAAAGUUAUUUCUUCUUUAUUAUAAAUUAUUAAUUAAGAUUAAUAAUUAAGAUUAAUAAUUAAGAUAAGAAUACUUAUAUAGAACUUAAUUAUAAAAAAGACAUUUAGAAACAGGAAUUAUAUUGAUAAUUUAUUACAUAAAAUUCAUUAAGUAAUUAUAAAAAUAUUUGAUAUAAAAAUGGAUUAAUUAAUUUUAAAUUAAAUUUCUCAAGAAUAUCUAUAAUAAUCUCAUAUUAUUAAAAUAUUUUAUGUACUCAUUAUUUAUUGGCGUCUAAGAUGUAUUUUGUUACUUGGCAAAUUUCAUUGAUUUAAUUUCAUGAAAAAUUAUAACAAUUUUUUUGAAAAAAGAAACAGUACAGAUAGAAUAAACAAAAAUAUGUUUGAAUGUAAUAUAAAAAAUCAUUUCCAUUUUGUAUUCUUAAAAAAAUUAUACUUAAAUUGAGAUUAGAAUUUGUAACAAUGGCUUCUAAGAAUACAUCUGAACAAUGUUGUCUAAUCAGUACUGACACAAAUUGAUGUUCUGUAUUCUAAUAUAAUGGAACGUGAUAGAAAUUCCUUAUCAUAUUCCUUAUCAUAUUGUAACUGUGUAUUAAUAUUAUUUUGUAAAAUUUCGUUGUAUUCGAAGUAUUUAACUUCAUACAAAGUUCAAUGAUUUGUAAAUAAUGUAAACUUUUUUGUAGUUAAAACACAAUAAGUAUAAAAAGUAUACAUAUUUUUUAAAAAACAGUAUGUAUACCUAUAUUAUCUAUAUUUACUAUAUUACUAUAUUAUAUGUAAUUUGAAUUUUUUUGAAACGUAUAUAUAAUUAAUUUAAUAAUUUAUAUUUUUCCAGUUACUAAUUAUUUAAACGAGCAAAUUGUUUUUGCAUAAAUUGAAACACUCGAUGUCGAUGAAAAAAAACAAUAUUUGAGAUAUAUGGAGAAUCGUGUAACAGGUGCUUUGCAAACAAUUCCGCAAAAUAUAAUUACGUGGCUCGUCACGAUGUUAUUUUAUUGCAGCUCGAUUAAACGGUUAUGCGUACCAUGCAGAAUGUUUCUAGGAAGAGGUGAUUUUAAUUGGAUUAUCGGAUAGCAUAACGACAUUGACACGAGAAACAAGUUUGUCGUAUUUGCUGUACACUUCUCCGAACUUUUUGCGGACUUGCUCAAUUAUUGACUCUUACUACUUGCGUGUUGGCGAUUACAUGAUAAUAAAUAUUGUUUUCUUAAGUUAUUUAACUUAAACAAAUUAUUUUUUUUUAAUAUUUUGAAUUAUUAUUAAUGCUUAUAUUUAAAUAAAAAAAACAAAACAAAAUGAAAUAUUUGUCAAAUAUGAAAAAAUCUUAUUUAUAAUUCUUCUAAUUAAUGAAAUGUUUCAAGAAAUUUUUUGAUAUUGAUUGAUUUUUUUUCAUAUUUUAUGUAUUAAUCUCAUAUAUUAAUUUAAUAUAUGUCACUUUUUAAUUGAAAGAAUAAGAAAUCUGAAAUCAAUUAAUUUGACUUUCUUCUUAAUAAUUCUAUUGUUAUGAAAUUAUGAAACUUAAAUUUAAACUUUUUGACUUAGAAAUUAUUUAUUAAGAUUUAUAAUUAUUAUUAAUUAUAUUAUUAAUUAUAUAAUUAUAUGAUUUUUUAUAUAUAAUAUAUAAUUAUAUUAAUUAUAUAAUUUAUUAAGAUAUUUAUGAAAUAAUUUUUAAUUAGAAUUCUAAAAUUUAAACCAAUUAUCUCACCAGUUUAAGUUCAUCACUCUUACUAUUUCUUACCUAUGGCAGUUUUAGUUCGUACAGUGCGGGAAUAUCCCAUGGGAUGAAGUAUUGCCCAGUAACGAUCUACGGACACCGCCACUAGACAGAAAAUACUGAUCGUACAAAGAACAAUCAACACAGAAACGGUGAACAAGCAAGCAUGUAAAUUCUUCGGUAAGCCAAUGCUAGCUAAAAUAGCAAAAGGUAUUGCGAACAAUCCGACCAAAAGAUCAGCUGUGGCCAAAGAGAUGAUGUAAUAAUUAGUUCGUCGACGAAGUUUUUUCUCUUUGCUGAAGACGAUGAUUACUAAACCGUUACCAAACACUGCACACACUGCCACCAAGAUCUCGCAAACUGUAUACGGUAAUUUAAGGUAUCAGUGAGUAACUACGUUCUGUCAAAGAACAACAAAUCGUCCAUUGAGAAACAGGAUGACUGGAAAUCACGGGUUGCAAAUGAUCAAGUUCAUUGAAUAGAGUUCAACCACGUUUUGGUCGCGUACUUCCAAAGCUUAUCAUACAACAUCAUCUUCCAACCAUGUUCAUCAGAAGGUAAUUUUAGUUUAGAUGAUACGCGUGCUUUUGAUUAUAUUUUUAGCCAUAUUGGAUAUUGAGGUCAUCAACAUCAUAAAUUCAAAAAAUAUUUCUUCGUUUUUAAAUAUUAAAUAGUUUCAAAGUUUCUAUUAUUGAUUUUUCAAUUACGUCCAUUCUUUUAAAUUGUAAAUUCAAUGAAUCUUCUUAUCAUUUCAAUUGAAAUCAUAUAAAAAAAAUAAUUAUGAUGACUUGAAUGAUUGAAUUAAAUUUGUUUUUAUCUUUUUUUUUAAAUCGAAUAUAAAUGUCAUUCAAAUUAAUUAAAUUCUAUUUUUUAUGAAUCUAUUUUAUAAUAAAAUAUUUCUAAAUAUUUAUCUUUUAUUUUUAUUUGUAAAUCUUAAUUUAUAUAUAACAUAUAUUUAAUACGUUUGAAUGCCAACAUUUUUAUCUUCAAUUUAUAAUAGUUUUAUUCUAUUAAAAUGCAUUACUUUUCAAAUAAAAAAAUCUCUUUUUAAAAAGAGAUUUUUCGUUUUUUAAUAUUCAAUUAUCCUCUAUUUUCUAUGUCAUGAUAGAUUACUAAAAGACAUUUCUUUGAGAAGAAAAAUAGAUUAAAGUUUUAAAUUUUAUAAUUAUUGGAAGAUUUUAUUUUUAGAAAAGUUAAAAGUUAAUAAAUAUAUAAUAAAUAUAUAAUAUAUAUAAUAAGAUUAGUAAUGAUUACUUCAAUCUUUUUGAUGAUAAAAAAAUUAUUGUUAAUUUGUGAUAAAUUAAAAUUAUAUAGAACAUCAAGUUUAUUUAUAAAACUACUAAACAUUUAAUUUAAAACAUUUCUCAUUAUUUAUUUUAAAUAUGCAAUAAAUGUCAUUUACAAAUAAAUUUUCAUACUUAAUUUUAUAAUUUUUAUUAUAAUUUAAAAAAAAAUUGAUUCUAUUUUAACUAGAAGAAAAGAGGUAAGAACUUAAAAUCCAAUUCAAAAUAUCUAAAAUGAUAAAAGAAAAUAAAAGUCAUCAUGAAUAAUAAUAAAUAAUGAUAAAGAAUAUUUUAACAUUAUAUUCUUCGAUGUUCUAAACUUUUACGUUUAUCUUUAUUUAUAGAGGAUUAAUAUAUCACUUGUCUAUCAUUAUUAUAGCCUCUAUAUAAUAUUUUAAAUAAAAUUUACUUAAUAUAUUAUUUUAAGAUUUUAUUGUUAUGAAACAUAAUUUUUUAUUUUAUUAUUAUGAAAGAGUACUUAAUUCAUAUUUUAAAUAACAAUCAAAAUUCGUGGAUUUCAAUUAAUCGAAUAUUUAAGGAACACCGAUUCGAUAUCGUUCGAUAGCCAAUCAAAGUCACGCAGAUCUUCACUGAACCAAUCAACGUCAAUCAAUAACACCGCGCGCUUUUUUCCGAGGCGUCAUAAAUCAAUCAGUUAUCGAUGUUUAUUAUGUGAUGUGCUUUUCUAAAAAUGCGAGUUAAAUAAAAAAAAAUUAGGCGUCAUAAAUAAAACGCAUCCAGGGAACGCGUCCGUCUUCUCAACCCCGUGGCGCGUAACUGAGUUUCUUCGUAAUAUACAGGGACUAGUGGCGGUGGAGGUGGAAUAGACACGGUUGUAGGUUAUGGAGGUAGUGGUAGACCAGAAAAGAAAAUUGACAAUUUUAUAUGUUAAUGUUUCCAUGUUUUAUCUAAAUUAAUUUCAUAUUGAAAUAAAGUCUUUGAAAAUGAUGGCAAAAAUUUAAAAAUUUGAAAUAUUAAAUUAUUAUAUCUUAUUCGUAUUAUAACAAUUAUAUAUAUUUUCAUUAUAAUUCAUAUUGAAUUUUUAAUUAUAUUUUAAAUUUUAAAUUUUAAUAAUAUAUCUGUAUCGAAUCUAUAUUAUUUGAAGCAUUAAUAAACAUUUAAUAUAUAUACUUUGAAUUAUUUAAUAUUUUUAUUUAAUUUUUGUUUAAAAAAGCUUUAAUUUAUAAUUAGUCAUAUGAAUUUGAAUUAUUGGUUAUUUGCUGCGGUAGCAUUUCUUCGUGAGUAUCUUACGAGAUUUGUAAUUGGAUAAGCGUGCUACGAGUAAGAAUUCAAUGACUUGUCUAUAUGUAUAAGUGAUAAAAGUCGACGCAUAUGAAAUAUACUAUAUAGAUGAAAAUUCCAAAAAGUAAUCGAUGUAAUUAACUACACGCAUGCGUGUUAUACAUAAUAAUGACGAAAAUAGAAAACUCUAUUUCUUUUUUAACACUUUAUUUAUAACACCAUCUCUCUAUUUAUAUCAGUACAAAAGCCUCUGGAAGUCAUUUUAUCCGAAUCAUCAGAUUCUACGAGGCAUUAUUUAUUCUAUUUUUUAAAUAGAAUAAAAGGAAAAUAUCUCCAUGGUUGAAUAAAGCUUAACCAUGCUUCAAGAAUUAAUCUAAAGGAACUAUCUAGAGGCCAAUGAUGUAUAGCUUUUCGAAGAAAUGUGUAGAUUUUACCUUGGACGGAAGGUAAAAUAAUUCUGUAAAUAAUUUUUAACAAAAUUUUGUGAUAUUAAUAUUUAAUUAUAUUUAAUUAUAUUUAAUUAUUGUUUAACUUUUUCUUUAAUAUUAAUAUACCGUUUAAGUUCAUCCAUUGCACUUUUGUCGCCUGUAGCACUAUUUGCAAAUUCAUGCAAAGUUUUUAUAAAUGCUCGAACUAGACGUAUAUGCUCUCCAGAAUGAAUACUAUGCUGUAAUUAUAAUUAUAUAUAAAUAUACAUAUUUUAUAAAAAAAUUUUUAUCAUAUACUUACUCGGCGGGGCACAGAUGCAGGAUAUGAUGUGCUUAAAGGUGAACAUAAUUUAUCAUCUUCUAUAUAUUCUACCCAAAAAUCAAGAAAUACUUGAACUACGGUUUCACUUCUCCAAACUUGUGGCAAACAUUGUUGUUGUGGUACAGUUGAUGUGGAAGUCGGAGAUCCUGGCGAUAAUAUCGAUGUUCUCAAAAGUCGUGGUGUUUGCAUUCUAUAAUAAUUUCUAAUUAUAAUUUUUGUUUACUGUUAAAUUCAGGUGAUUGUACAAGUUUUCGUUGAGGUGUUUUUCUGAUGUAUGGACUAAUUAUUGGCAAAACAGGGGAAUUAUCUCUAGGUAAAAAAUGGUAUAAGUAACAAUGUGCUAAUUGAACAUAAACAGUUUCCCAAUU